ACAAGACAUGUGAGGGUCCGGGUUGUACUUGUAUAGUAUAGACACAUGAAAUAUAUUAUGAACUCUGGAUAGUUCUAGAGAUAAUGCUAAUCUGUAGGCGGACAUACCAAUCCUGUCUAAGAUCUCAAAUGGUCUGAUGAAUCGGAGAUUCAACUUUUCCCUCUUUCUAAACAUGCUAAUACCCUUAAAUGGGGUGACCUUAAGGAACACUCAAUUGCCCUUCUCGAAUUCUAAAUCUCACCUUCGGAUGUCUGCAUAACUUUUCUGUCUACUCUUGGUUGUCU
RNAcentral lists this long non-coding RNA (284 nucleotides) under Carica papaya (papaya). RNAcentral describes it as "long non-coding RNA (CPAP_LNC000445)". The record is from RNAcentral. Lineage: Eukaryota; Viridiplantae; Streptophyta; Magnoliopsida; Brassicales; Caricaceae.